This 253-nucleotide ribosomal RNA is filed under the name uncultured bacterium. Its description in RNAcentral is "partial 16S ribosomal RNA". It matches the Rfam family "Bacterial small subunit ribosomal RNA", at positions 524 to 776 of the family's 1533-position model. The record is from RNAcentral.
UACGUAGGCAGCGAGCGUUGUUCGGAGUUAUUGGGCGUAAAGAGUGCGUAGGCGGUUUUGUAAGUUUGGGGUGAAAUCUCCCGGCUUAACUGGGAGGGUGCGCCGAAGACUGGAAGGCUUGAGUAUGGGAGAGGUAAGCGGAAUUCCUGGUGUAGCGGUGAAAUGCGUAGAUAUCAGGAGGAACACCUGCGGUGUAGACGGCUUACUGGACCGUAACUGACGCUGAGGCACGAAAGCGUGGGUAGCAAACGGG